AGGUAUGAAGCAGUGAAGGAUUUUAAAAAGACAACGAAUUUCUCUAGUUCUUUUGUAACCUUCGGUGGCAUCGCGGCAUAGAUAAAUUGAAUCUCAGGUUUGAUGAAAAAUAAAUGUAUUCGAGUGCU
This is a long non-coding RNA of Armigeres subalbatus, 128 nucleotides long. RefSeq lists it as uncharacterized. The record is from RefSeq and is a predicted model, not a curated record. Lineage: Eukaryota; Metazoa; Arthropoda; Insecta; Diptera; Culicidae. The transcript has 2 exons.